UACAUGAGUGGCAAGCGUUAUUCUUCGUAGCUGGGUGUAAAGUAUAUUAUGUAAAAAAACAAACUUUAUUGUUUUUUUUAAAUUUUUAUUUAAUUGUUAAUUUUUUAACUAAAAUAGCGUGUAAAUGCAAAAACUUUAGUGUAAAAUCCAUAUAUAUAUUGACAUUAAAUAUAAAACUCUAUAUAUGAAAGCUUAGACAUCGAUAAGGGUUUCGAACCUAGUAGACUGAGCUGUAAAAAAUGGGACACUUUCUAACGAUUAAUGUCCCCACCGGUGUAGUAAAAUCGCAAGAUUGGAACUUAAAAUAAUUGGCGGGGCUUUCAAUAAACAGUGGAACAUGUGGUUUAAUUCGAUAAUCCUCGCAUAACCUUACCUAUAUAUUAAAAAGUUGUUACUGCAUGGCCGUCUUAAGUUCAAAUUUUGAAAUUUAUAAAAUUAAUUUUUUUAUUUUUGAACGAAAUUCUUGUUAAUAUACAGAAAUAAGUCAGGUCCUUAUGGUUCAAUUAUAUAGGGCUACACACGUGUUAUAAAGUUUGUUACAAAAAUGAUUUAAAUAGAAAUAUUUAAAAAAAAAAAAACAAACGUAGUUCAAAAGGUAUUUUGAAAAAUAUAUCUUUAGUAAAAAUUGUUAGUAAAUGCAGAAUAAUAAGCUGUAUUGAAUGAUUAUAAAAGCUUGUACACACUGCCCAUCACACACAGAGAAUUCAUUGGUCCUAAUCACUUGGUGAAUAUUUUUUUUAAAAAAUUUUUUGGCGUUUGAAAAAUAAACGAAAAUUAAGCCGUACAGUAAAUGCUAGUGAGUUAUUUGGGUUAAGUUG
Molecule: ribosomal RNA, 818 nt
Filed under: Acineta sp. (in: ciliates)
Lineage: Eukaryota; Ciliophora; Phyllopharyngea; Endogenida; Acinetidae
Description: Acineta sp. partial small subunit ribosomal RNA
Rfam family: Bacterial small subunit ribosomal RNA
Source: RNAcentral